AGGACAAACGCUGGCGGCGUGCAUAACACAUGCAAGUCGAACGAGCCUAGCGAUAGGCGAGUGGCGGACGGGUGAGGAACACGUGGAUGACCGACCUUUUACUGGGGAAUACCCGUGGGAAACCACGGCUAAAUACCGCAUACGUUCGAGAGAAGAAAGCCUUCGGGCGGUAAGAGACGGGUCUGCGGUCGAUUAGCUAGUUGGUGCGGUAACGGCGUACCAAGGCGACGAUCGAUAGCUGGUCUGAGAGGAUGAUCAGCCACAUUGGGAUUGAGAACGGCCCAAAUCCCUACGGGGAGCAGCAGUGAGGAAUAUUCGGCAAUGGGCGCAAGCCUGACCGAGCGACGCCGCGUGGGGGAUGACGCAUUUCGGUGUGUAAACCCCUUUUCUGUGGGACGAGAAUGGACGGUACCGACAGGAAUAAGUCUCGGCUAACUACGCGCCAGCAGCCGC
This 453-nucleotide ribosomal RNA is filed under the name uncultured bacterium. RNAcentral's name for it is "SSU rRNA". It matches the Rfam family "Bacterial small subunit ribosomal RNA", at positions 26 to 518 of the family's 1533-position model. The record is from RNAcentral.